UACGGAGGAUCCAAGCGUUAUCCGGAAUCAUUGGGUUUAAAGGGUCCGUAGGCGGUUUGGUAAGUCAGUGGUGAAAGCCCAUCGCUCAACGGUGGAACGGCCAUUGAUACUGCUAGACUUGAAUUAUUAGGAAGUAACUAGAAUGUGUAGUGUAGCGGUGAAAUGCUUAGAGAUUACAUGGAAUACCAAUUGCGAAGGCAGGUUACUACUAAUGGAUUGACGCUGAUGGACGAAAGCGUGGGUAGCGAACAGG
RNAcentral lists this ribosomal RNA (253 nucleotides) under uncultured bacterium. Its description in RNAcentral is "partial 16S ribosomal RNA". It matches the Rfam family "Bacterial small subunit ribosomal RNA", at positions 524 to 776 of the family's 1533-position model. The record is from RNAcentral.